Molecule: long non-coding RNA, 200 nt
Filed under: Elaeis guineensis (African oil palm)
Lineage: Eukaryota; Viridiplantae; Streptophyta; Magnoliopsida; Arecales; Arecaceae
Description: long non-coding RNA (EGUI_LNC056080)
Source: RNAcentral
GUGCCUAACCAAGGGCGCGGGCCAGAAGGAGAAGCGAAAGAAGAAUCGGGCUCCUGCUGAACCCAGCAGGCCCCUAACUGAUAAACGGGUCUCUCCCCGACGACGGAGUCUGAGAUCGCCUCGAUGGCAGAGUCUGAGACUGACGCAUCGCAGGUAUGACUCCUACACUCCUCUCUCUGCUCCUCGUGUGCAAAUCCUGA